Molecule: long non-coding RNA, 1396 nt
Organism: Calidris pugnax (ruff)
Lineage: Eukaryota; Metazoa; Chordata; Aves; Charadriiformes; Scolopacidae
Exons: 3
Source: RefSeq, a predicted model, not a curated record
GGAGAAACUGGCAAAAAAAAAAAAAAAGCCUAUAAAUGUGAGCCUGGGAGUAGGUCUGCUGGAGGACACCACCACUGCCUGAUCUGCAUGCUCCUUUAUGGGGUUCAUCCUCGUUCAGGAGAACUCUCCAAGUUUCUUCGGGCAAUCAUGCAUGCAGGGGCUUGGCGUUAUUUCUGGUUAAAGAAGCUUCACGCCUUGUGUCACAAAUCUCACCUUUGAAGAAACGAUGCAUUUAAAGAGACCGUUUACUGAGUGUCAGUACUCUGCGUGACACUUCAUUUCUUCACAAAUCGCCUGAGGAGCAGAGGGCCUGGAGGAUGUUUGACCGAGUGCUGCUGAGCACUCACAUUGUGCACAGAGAUGUAUCACCAGGGCCCUCGGUGGUGAAACCCAUAGGAUUUUAAUCUAUGGGGUCCAGUAUUUCCCCACGCCAGCAGGAUGGCAGUGUUUUAUGGGGGCCGCUUCAACACCUUGGUUGUGUUCAACACAACCACUCUGUGCUCCAACACCUUCAACAGCCUUGAUGUGGCUCCAAGGCUGUCCCCAUUCCUGAGAGAAACCCUACUAACAAAUGGGUCACGGACCAGAACUCUGGUCAAAAUCGUCAGGGAAAACUGCUCUUGGCCACCCUGCACCUCGGGGAGCAGCCGGAGCCACCUGCUCCAUCAGAAAGGGGAGCUGCGGCCCAGCACAGGCCCCACCUCAAACACUGUGUCCAAUUUUGGGCCCUCACCACAAAAUAGACAUUCAGGGGCUGGAGCGGGUCCAGAGAAGGGCAACGGAGCUGGUGAGGGGUCUGGAGAACAAGUCUUGUGAGGAGAGGCUGAGGGAGCUGGGGGUGUUCAGCCUGGAGAAAAGGAGGCUGAGGGGAGACCUUAUUGCUCUCUACAACUCCCUGAAAGGAGGGUGUAGCCAGGGGGGUCGGUCUCUUCUCCCGAGGAACAGGUAAUGGGACAGGAGGAAACGGCCUCAAGUUGUGCCAGGGGAGGUUUAAGAGUGGAUAUUAGGAAAAAAAUUCUUCAUUAAAAAGGUUGUCAAGCAUUGGAACGGGCUGCCCAGGGAAGCGGUGGAGUCGCCAUCCCUGGUGGUGAGUAGACAUGGCGCUGAGGAGACAUGUUUUAGUGGUGGACUUGGCAGUGCUGGGUUAAUGGUCGGGCUCAAUGAUGUUAAAGGUCUUUUCCAACCUGAACGAUUCUGUGAUGAUUCUCUCUCUGCAGAAGCACCACCAAAGAGCCAGACACACCGCCGUGUGGUGGGCACAUCUUCCCUGGCAUUUCACUCCUCCACGCCCUCCCUCCACCCCCAGAGCUUUGCUGGACACAAAGACUUAUCUCCUGGAUUUGCUGUUCCAUUUCCUUCUUCCUCGUGUGCGUGAAGGAAAAGAGGACCAGCCUCA